Molecule: ribosomal RNA, 467 nt
Filed under: uncultured bacterium
Lineage: Bacteria
Description: partial 16S ribosomal RNA
Rfam family: Bacterial small subunit ribosomal RNA
Source: RNAcentral
AGUGAACGCUGGCGGUAGGCCUAACACAUGCAAGUCGAACGGCAGCACAGUAAGAGCUUGCUCUUACGGGUGGCGAGUGGCGGAAGGGUGAGGUAUACAUCGGAAUCUACUUUUUCGGGGGGGAUAACGUAGGGAAACUUACGCUAAUACCGCAUACGACGUACGGGUGAAAGCAGGGGAUCUUCAGACCUUGCGCGAUUGGAUGAGCCGAUGUCGGAUUAGCUAGUUGGCGGGGUAAAGGCGUACCAAGGCGACGAUCCGCAGCUGGGCUGUGAGGAUGAGCCCCAACACCGGAAGGGAGACACAGUGGGGAAUAUUGGACAAGGGGGGCAAGCCUGAUCCAGCCAUACCGCGGGGGUGAUGAAGGCGUUCGGGUGGGAAAGCCCUGUUGUUGGGAAAGAAAAGCAGCAGGUUAAUACCCCGUGGUUCUGACGGUACCCAAAGAAUAAGCACCGGCUAACUUCGUG